Molecule: non-coding RNA, 73 nt
Organism: Phrynosoma platyrhinos (Desert horned lizard)
Lineage: Eukaryota; Metazoa; Chordata; Lepidosauria; Squamata; Phrynosomatidae
Source: the annotation of a GenBank genome assembly
GGGUGGGUGAUGCAGUGGUUUGAGUGUUAAGGCUACCACACUGGAGUCCAGGGUUCGAAUCCCGUCUCGGCCA